Allomyces macrogynus ATCC 38327 is the source of this 81-nucleotide transfer RNA. It matches the Rfam family "tRNA". Rfam says of the family: Transfer RNA (tRNA) molecules are approximately 80 nucleotides in length. Their secondary structure includes four short double-helical elements and three loops (D, anti-codon, and T loops). Further hydrogen bonds mediate the characteristic L-shaped molecular structure. tRNAs have two regions of fundamental functional importance: the anti-codon, which is responsible for specific mRNA codon recognition, and the 3' end, to which the tRNAs corresponding amino acid is attached (by aminoacyl-tRNA synthetases). tRNAs cope with the degeneracy of the genetic code in two manners: having more than one tRNA (with a specific anti-codon) for a particular amino acid; and 'wobble' base-pairing, i.e. permitting non-standard base-pairing at the 3rd anti-codon position. The record is from Rfam. NCBI's taxonomy places the organism in Eukaryota, Fungi, Blastocladiomycota, Blastocladiomycetes, Blastocladiales, Blastocladiaceae.
GGGGAGAUGGCCGAGUGGUCUAAGGCAUCACGACAUGACUGUGAAUCUCCGGAAACGUGGGUUCGAAUCCCACUCUCCCGA